This 530-nucleotide ribosomal RNA is filed under the name uncultured bacterium. RNAcentral describes it as "bacterial SSU rRNA". It matches the Rfam family "Bacterial small subunit ribosomal RNA", at positions 777 to 1307 of the family's 1533-position model. The record is from RNAcentral.
AAUAGAUACCCCGGUAGUCCACGCCGUAAACGAUGAGUGCUAGGUGUUAGGGGGUUUCCGCCCCUUAGUGCUGAAGUUAACGCAUUAAGCACUCCGCCUGGGGAGUACGGCCGCAAGGCUGAAACUCAAAAGAAUUGACGGGGGCCCGCACAAGCGGCGGAGCAUGUGGUUUAAUUCGAAGCAACGCGAAGAACCUUACCAGGUCUUGACAUCCGCUGACAAUCUUGGAGACAAGACGUUCCCUUCGGGGACAGCGUGACAGGUGGUGCAUGGUUGUCGUCAGCUCGUGUCGUGAGAUGUUGGGUUAAGUCCCGCAACGAGCGCAACCCUUGAUUCUAGUUGCCAGCAUUAAGUUGGGCACUCUAGAGUGACUGCCGGUGACAAACCGGAGGAAGGUGGGGAUGACGUCAAAUCAUCAUGCCCCUUAUGACCUGGGCUACACACGUGCUACAAUGGAUGGUACAAAGGGCAGCAAAGUCGCGAGGCUAAGCAAAUCCCAUAAAACCAUUCUCAGUUCGGAUUGCAGGCUG